This is a long non-coding RNA of Cyclopterus lumpus (lumpfish), 1050 nucleotides long. RefSeq lists it as uncharacterized. The record is from RefSeq and is a predicted model, not a curated record. The transcript has 3 exons. Lineage: Eukaryota; Metazoa; Chordata; Actinopteri; Perciformes; Cyclopteridae.
UUACUUUAUAAUGAUUAAAAUCGAGUCACACUCAUUUGAUAAUUGAUAAAUGGUAAGUCGUUUUUGCCGUCAUAAGACACUGAAUUAUGGUACGUUCCAGGUCAUGGUUCAGACGGGUCAGACAGAGCAGGGGCAAACGCAGGUCGGACUCCAGCUAGCUAGCUAACUGCUAGCUAACUGCUAGCUAACUGCUAGCUAACUGCUAGCUAACUGCUAGCUAACUGCUAGCUAACUGCUAGCUAACUGCUAGCUAACUGCUAGCUAACUGCUAGCUAACUGCUAGCUAACUGCUAGCUAACUGCUAGCUAACUGCUAGCUAAAAACGGGGGAAAUGAUUUGGCGCUGUGUUAUUUGCUUUGUGUUCGUGGCUCUCACUCUCAAAUCUUUAUUGAGUCAUAUUAAUACUGCUCAUAGUCGCAGUCCAGAUUUUCGCGUUGUUUGUGGAAUUGAUGGAUGCACCAAAGAGUAUCGAGUCUACAACUCGCUAUGGUAUCACAUUAGAAGAAACCACCACGAACACCUGGAAAGUGGCAGCAGCAACUCACGGAGAGAGAGGUCAACAGCAGGCCCGGAAGCCUCUUCAGCGGUGAAUGCGUGGGCAUACAGGCCAGCUGAGAGAGCAUCAAACGGAUGAAGCAGUGGUGGACAACAGGGUGCAAGAUGUAAUGACUGUUGGGUCAUGUCCUGCUGUAGACUCUUCUGCAUCAUGUCAGUCAGAGGAUGACAUCAGGCGUAACACUCUGACCAGACAAGCUACUGCUAUUAUGUUGACUGCAAGAGAAAAACACCAUCUUUCACAGAGAGGUGUGAAUGAUGUUGUGGCAGCAAUGCAGCAAUAUCAAGCCCUGUUGGUGACUAAUCUGAGGAGUCAGCUACAAACUGUAUUCCAGCAACAUCAAGGAAGUGAACUUGAAAAGGAAGCAAUGGCAGUAUUCGACCGGAUUGAGGAUCCAUUUUCCUCUCUUGCAACAACAUACAGGCAGGACAACGUGAUUAAGGAACAUUUCAAUUUUGUGGAGUCAGAGGAGGUUUCUGUUGGGUAUACUGCCU